This 329-nucleotide unclassified non-coding RNA is filed under the name soil metagenome. Its description in RNAcentral is "partial contains 5.8S ribosomal RNA, internal transcribed spacer 2, and large subunit ribosomal RNA". The stretch from base 1 to 120 matches the Rfam family "5.8S ribosomal RNA", at positions 35 to 154 of the family's 154-position model. The record is from RNAcentral.
GAUGAAGAACGUAGCGAAAUGCGAUAAGUAAUGUGAAUUGCAGAAUUCAGUGAAUCAUCGAAUCUUUGAACGCACAUUGCGCCCCUUGGUAUUCCGGGGGGCAUGCCUCUUCCAGCGUCAUUUCACCCCUCAAGCUCUGCUUGGUUUUGGGCCGCGCCGGCAACGGCGGGCCUCGAAAAAAGUGGCGACGCCAUCGUGCUCUCAGCGUAGUAAUUCUUCUCGCUGUUGGGUCCCGGUGGUCGUACGCCAGCAACCCCCACCUUUCUUAAGUUUGACCUGGGAUGAGGUAGGGAUACCCGCUGAACUUAAGCAUAUCAAUAAGCGGAGGA